RNAcentral lists this long non-coding RNA (461 nucleotides) under Panicum hallii. Its description in RNAcentral is "long non-coding RNA (PHAL_LNC000401)". The record is from RNAcentral. Lineage: Eukaryota; Viridiplantae; Streptophyta; Magnoliopsida; Poales; Poaceae.
AGUUAUUUUCACUGCAGUUUCAUUCACGAAGCACCUAAUGAAGUUAUUUCUAGAUUACACUGGGGAGGAGAAGUUGGAAAUCGUAGCUUCACCUAACUUCUUCCGCAGACCCACGUUUGUCAAACGAUUUUAAAAAUAACUUUAGUUUUACAAGAAAAAGCUGCUCCACCAGUAAAACUGCUUCAGACUUUAGAAGAAGCUCAACCUACACCAAACAAACCUUAAACUGUCGCCUACCGAGAUAACUGCAACCCCCUCCCCCUCUUUGUUGUCGCUUGUCGGUUCCAAUCGAGAAAGGACAUGGGAUGGCCUGUGCUGCUGGCACGGCAACAGUAAUAGCUGUUCGGAUCUUGACCAACUGCUCACCCGACGCUGCUUAAGUAGGAACACAUCGGAACUCUGGCGCUCUCAAGCUGCCUUUGCUUGUGCCGAGCUCGAGCUAAGUGAGGUAAAGCUCAGCC